This 502-nucleotide ribosomal RNA is filed under the name uncultured Glomeromycotina. RNAcentral's name for it is "partial small subunit ribosomal RNA". It matches the Rfam family "Eukaryotic small subunit ribosomal RNA", at positions 591 to 1092 of the family's 1831-position model. Lineage: Eukaryota; Fungi; Glomeromycota. The record is from RNAcentral.
CCAAUAGCGUAUAUUAAAGUUGUUGCAGUUAAAAAGCUCGUAGUUGAACUUCGGGGUUCACCCAUUGGUCAGGCUUAAUUGUCUGCACUGGUGAGAUGAGUCUCUACCUUCUGAGGAACUUUCAUGUCAUUUAUUUGGUGUGGUUGGAAAUCAGGACUGUUACUUUGAAAAAAUUAGAGUGUUUAAAGCAGGCUAACGUCUGAAUACAUUAGCAUGGAAUAAUGAAAUAGGACGGACUGAUUCUAUUUCGUUGGUUUCUAGGAUCACCGUAAUGAUUAAUAGGGAUAGUUGGGGGCAUUAGUAUUCAAUUGUCAGAGGUGAAAUUCUUGGAUUUAUUGAAGACUAACUACUGCGAAAGCAUUUGCCAAGGAUGUUUUCAUUAAUCAAGAACGAAAGUUAGGGGAUCGAAGACGAUCAGAUACCGUCGUAGUCUUAACCAUAAACUAUGCCGACUAGGGAUCGGACGAAGUUAAUUUUAUAAUGACGCGUUCGGCACCUUACG